Trichechus manatus latirostris (Florida manatee) is the source of this 750-nucleotide long non-coding RNA. RefSeq lists it as uncharacterized. NCBI's taxonomy places the organism in Eukaryota, Metazoa, Chordata, Mammalia, Sirenia, Trichechidae. The record is from RefSeq and is a predicted model, not a curated record. The transcript has 3 exons.
CAGGGUUCUUCCCAGUUGAGCCACUUUCCACACGUGCUAGCUGCCUAAACUUUAAUUGGAGCGUCCUCAGUUUUAAAAUGAGGUUUAUGUCUGCUGUCCUGUCCCACUUAAAAAGAUUGGCUAGCGCUAUACAUGUAUCCCCCCGCUGUUGAAAGUUUGCUUUCCACCACUUGGCUUUUACGAAAGAUCUACAAUAGUACCUGUUUUCGCUAACCGAGAGAAAUCCGAAGAGAAUUGUUACAAAAAGGAAAUAGCGUUCAACAUCUGUUUUGCAGCAAGCUAUUUAACCGGCAGCGCUCACCUGGAGCAGUGGGAGUGUCACCGCCAAGCUCCUUCCCUGAGAGCUUCUACUUUAUUCCAAGAUACUUCUUAGAGGAAGAACAGUCUGGUGAAGAUGUACUUGACUUUGAUAAAUGUCAUCUUGCUAUCCUUACAAGACAAUUUCUGAGAGCACCUCUGGCCAUCCAAAUCAAUCGUCUAGGCUCAGUAGUAAAAGGAUGUCCUCCCGGCGAGCCUGCCCUUCUGCUCUCCAACCUGCAUCUCCAUUUCCAGAAAGAAACUACUUUGACUCCCAGAGAUGUUUCCCCUUCAUCCUUUCCAUCCUGAGGAAUGGAGUUCCUGCAAUGAAUCCAGGGCAGACACUUCCCAGAACCACUUACUGGAAAUUAUCAAAGGCAAAUAUUGCAGUGCUGCCGCUUCUUCUCACCCACUUCCCUGGAAGAUCCCACGACGGUGCCUCCCUGAAACCAG